CUACACCCACUACCCGCCUGGGAACUACGAGCAUCAGCUUGAAACCCAAAGGACUUGGCGGUGCUUUAGAUCCACCUAGAGGAGCCUGUUCUAGAACCGAUAACCCCCGUUCAACCUCACCUUUCCUUGUCUUUCCCGCCUAUAUACCGCCGUCGUCAGCUUACCCUGUGAAGGUUUAAUAGUAAGCAAAAUUGGUACAACCUAAAACGUCAGGUCGAGGUGUAGCGUAUGGGAAGGGAAGAAAUGGGCUACAUUUCCUACCACAGGAAAUACGAAUGAUGCACUGAAAUGUGUAUCUGAAGGAGGAUUUAGCAGUAAGCAGGAAAUAGAGCGUCCCGCUGAAAUUGGCCCUGAAGCGCGCACACACCGCCCGUCACUCUCCCCAAGCCUACCAACUAAAAUAACUAAAAUCUUAUAACCGCGAAGGGGAGGCAAGUCGUAACAUGGUAAGUGUACCGGAAGG
This 463-nucleotide ribosomal RNA is filed under the name Sander vitreus (walleye). Its description in RNAcentral is "partial 12S ribosomal RNA". It matches the Rfam family "Bacterial small subunit ribosomal RNA", at positions 855 to 1512 of the family's 1533-position model. Lineage: Eukaryota; Metazoa; Chordata; Actinopteri; Perciformes; Percidae. The record is from RNAcentral.